AUCUGAGUAGCUUAAAUUUAAAGCUUAACAUUGAAGCUGUUAAUAUAAGAGUAAUAUCUUCUUAGAUA
This 68-nucleotide transfer RNA is filed under the name Tapeinus singularis. Its description in RNAcentral is "tRNA-Phe". It matches the Rfam family "tRNA". Rfam says of the family: Transfer RNA (tRNA) molecules are approximately 80 nucleotides in length. Their secondary structure includes four short double-helical elements and three loops (D, anti-codon, and T loops). Lineage: Eukaryota; Metazoa; Arthropoda; Insecta; Hemiptera; Reduviidae. The record is from RNAcentral.